This 77-nucleotide transfer RNA is filed under the name Candidatus Uhrbacteria bacterium. RNAcentral's name for it is "tRNA-Val". It matches the Rfam family "tRNA". Rfam says of the family: Transfer RNA (tRNA) molecules are approximately 80 nucleotides in length. Their secondary structure includes four short double-helical elements and three loops (D, anti-codon, and T loops). The record is from RNAcentral. Lineage: Bacteria; Candidatus Uhriibacteriota.
GGACGCUUAGCUCAGUUGGUUAGAGCAUCUGCUUUACACGCAGAGGGUCGUAGGUUCGACUCCUACAGCGUCCACCA